Molecule: ribosomal RNA, 624 nt
Filed under: uncultured fungus
Lineage: Eukaryota; Fungi
Description: eukaryotic LSU rRNA
Rfam family: 5.8S ribosomal RNA (bases 211-364)
Source: RNAcentral
AGUAAAAGUCGUAACAAGGUCUCCGUUGGUGAACCAGCGGAGGGAUCAUUACAGAGUUUAUAACUCCCAAACCCAUGUGAACUUACCUUUUGUUGCCUCGGCGGGGCCGCCCCCCUCUCACAAGGAGACGCGGGCCUGCCGGCGGACUACCAAAAAACUCUUGUUAUCUUUAUGUGUCUCUCUCUGAGUUAUACAAACUUAAUAAGUUAAAACUUUCAACAACGGAUCUCUUGGUUCUGGCAUCGAUGAAGAACGCAGCGAAAUGCGAUAAGUAAUGUGAAUUGCAGAAUUCAGUGAAUCAUCGAAUCUUUGAACGCACAUUGCGCCCAUUAGUAUUCUAGUGGGCAUGCCUGUUCGAGCGUCAUUUCAACCCUCAAGCCCUAGUCGCUUGGUGUUGGGAGCCUGCCGUGAAACGCAGCUCCUCAAAGCUAGCUGGCAGAGUUAGGAUCUAACUGUGAGCGUAGUAAUUCUUUACAUCUCGUUCUUCGGUGGUCCUGGCCUUCUCGCCACUAAACCCCCCAAAUUUUUUCUAUGGUUGACCUCGGAUCAGGUAGGAAUACCCGCUGAACUUAAGCAUAUCAAUAAGCGGAGGAAAAGAAACCAACAGGGAUUGCCCCAGUAACG